RNAcentral lists this ribosomal RNA (332 nucleotides) under uncultured eukaryote. RNAcentral's name for it is "partial 18S ribosomal RNA". It matches the Rfam family "Eukaryotic small subunit ribosomal RNA", at positions 1470 to 1796 of the family's 1831-position model. The record is from RNAcentral.
CCCUUAGAUGUUCUGGGCUGCACACGUGCUACACUGGCAGGUUCAGCGAGCUUCAUGCCCUGAUCUGAAAGGAAUGGGAAAUCUUUUCAAAACCUGCCGUGCUUGGGAUAGAUGUUUGCAAUUAUUCAUCUUCAACGAGGAUUGCCUUGUAAGCGCACGUCAUCAGCGUGCAUUGAAUACGACCCUGUAUUCUGUACACACCGCCCGUCGCUCCUACCGAUUGAAGUUUUCAGUGAGUUGACAGGAGGAUUUUUUUGAAACUGGUUCGCCAGUGGAUUUUAGAUCCAAAUGCCAACGAAUCGAUGGCUUUAGAGGAAGGAGAAGUCGUAACA